UGCGCAGGCGGACUCGUAAGUCAGAAGUGAAAUCUCGGCGCUCAACGCCGAAACGUCUUUUGAUACUGCGGGUCUUGAAUCGGGGAGAGAUCCGUGGAAUUCCGAGUGUAGCAGUGAAAUGUGUAGAUAUUCGGAAGAACACCAGCGGCGAAGGCAGCGGAUUGGCCCUAGAUUGACGCUCAGGCACGAAAGCAUGGGGAUCAAACAGGAUUAGAUACCCUGGUAGUCCAUGCCCUAAACGAUGAUCACUUGGUGUCGGCCGUAAGGUCGGUGCCGGAGCUAACGCGUUAAGUGGUCCACCUGGGGAGUACGCUCGCAAGGGUGAA
Molecule: ribosomal RNA, 326 nt
Filed under: uncultured bacterium
Lineage: Bacteria
Description: bacterial SSU rRNA
Rfam family: Bacterial small subunit ribosomal RNA
Source: RNAcentral